CUAGCACAUUAGACUAGAAUUGACUGACACAGACAGAAUCCGCGCAACAGACAUUGUUUCCCGCUCAAACCUCGCUGGAAUGAUGGCCACCGCCGAUGAUCCAGAAUACUGGACGCAACUGAUGGCCACUUACCUCCUCCACCCCGAAUCCGACCAUUCCGAUCAACUCCGCUCCAUUUCAUCUUCUCCCGAUUUCAAUCUUCAUUUUCCUCUCUACAUCGACUUCGCAGAAUUGUUGGAUUAUGAUCCUCGCAUUGCUCAUCUCAUCUUUUCCCAAUCCAAUACCUAUCUUCAACUAUUCGAUGAAGCUGCUCUUAGGACUCAUAGAAUUGUGUUAGGAGAAAUGGCUGGUGAUGAAAAGAAUACUGUGGUUGAGAAAAAGUACAUUCACGUUCGGAUUAACAUCAGUGGUUCUCCCCUUGAAUGCCCUGAGACUUUUCCGAGCAUAGGACGUGUACGGGUGCAGCACCGAGGGAUUCUUCUCACUCUCAAAGGGAUAGUAAUCAGGUCCGGAGCUAUCAAGAUGCAUGAAGGAGAGAGGAAGUACAUGUGCCACAAAUGCAAAAACAGCUUCACAGUUCAUCCCGAGGUGGAAGCUCGAAACUCCAUAUCAUUACCUUCAAUUUGUCCAAUUCAGAAGCCGAAGCCCUGUGGGGGUACAAAAUUCCAGUAUGUAGAGAAUACUAUAGUGUGCCAUGAUUAUCAGGAGAUAAAAGUCCAAGAGAGCACACAGGUGCUAGGUGUUGGUGCGAUUCCUCGUUCAAUUCUUGUCAUCUUGAAGGAUGACCUUGUUGAUGUUGUUAAAGCUGGAGAUGAUGUGAUUGUUACUGGUCUCUUAACGGCAAGAUGGUCUCCAGAGUUGAAGGAUGUGCGCUGUGACCUUGAUCCGGUAUUAAUAGCCAACAAUGUAAGGAGAAUCAAUGAAUUGAAGUCAGAAAUUGAUAUUUCUGAUGCCAUCGUUAUGAAAUUCAAGCAGUUUUGGGAUCACUUCAAAGACACACCUUUAAAAGGAAGGAAUGCUAUUCUACGAGGAAUCUGCCCACAAAUAUUUGGUCUUUUCACGGUCAAGCUGGCAGUUGCAUUAACACUAAUCGGAGGUGUACAACAUGUCGAUGCUUCUGGAACAAGGGUAAGGGGGGAGUCCCACUUACUCUUGGUCGGUGAUCCUGGCACUGGAAAAUCUCAGUUUCUGAAAUUUGCUGCAAAAUUGAGCAACCGGUCUGUUAUUACAACUGGGUUGGGAAGCACAAGUGCAGGAUUGACUGUUACUGCCGUGAAGGAUGGGGGUGAGUGGAUGUUGGAAGCUGGCGCCCUUGUCUUGGCAGAUGGAGGAUUGUGUUGCAUAGAUGAAUUUGAUAGUAUGAGGGAACAUGACAGAGCAACAAUACACGAAGCCAUGGAGCAGCAGACAAUAAGUGUUGCCAAGGCUGGUCUUGUAACAACCCUCAGUACCAAAACAACAGUAUUUGGCGCCACAAAUCCUAAGGGACAUUAUGAUCCUGAUCAACCUCUGUCUGUCAAUACAACCCUCUCUGGUCCUUUGUUAAGCAGAUUUGAUAUAGUCCUGGUGCUCUUGGAUACAAAGAAUCCUGAAUGGGAUGCAGUAGUUUCAUCUCAUAUUCUUUCUGAGGCAGAACCGGAUAGAACAUCCAAUGAUGAAGAUCUUGCAAAUAUCUGGCCUCUUUCUACACUCAAGAGGUAUAUACACUAUUUGAAAGAAAAAUUCAGACCAGUCCUUACGAGAGAGGCCGAAACAGUUAUAUCCAGCUAUUAUCAACUUCAAAGGAAAUCUGCAACUGAUAAUGCAGCUAGGACAACUGUCCGCAUGCUUGAAAGUUUGAUUCGCCUAGCUCAAGCUCAUGCAAGGCUGAUGUUCAGAAAUGAGGUGACUCGUCUAGAUGCUGUCACAGCUAUUUUAUGCAUAGAAUCCUCCAUGACUACCUCAGCUAUUGUGGAUUGCAUUGGGAAUGCUCUGCAUUCCAAUUUCACCGACAACCCUGAUCAGGAAUGUAUCCUUGCUGUCUUUCUUUGCAUAAAAUGUAGCUUUGCAUAAUUGUUUUGCUUCAAUAAACGACCAAUAUCUUUUUAAAGCAGGUGUAGUACAUAGAUCAAUUAUACCAUUGAGCUCUAUUAACAAACUGAAAUUUUAAUGAAACUGCAUAUAGUUGUAACUUCUAAUUUUCAUGUUUUUUUCCUCAAACAUAAUAAAGCAAUAUGGAUUAAUAGUGGUCUUGAGGACUUCUUUCAUGUCUUUAACUAAUUUAGUUUACAUGUAAAAUUCUGAUGUCAUCUUUUCACAAUGACCAAGCUUUCUCCUCCCUCUAGGUAGGACUGGUUACACAAAGCAAUUGGCAUUAUAAAAUCUUGUCAUGUAUAAGUUUAAAGAUGGACCAUAUUUCACUAAUCUCUCUUAAUAGUUUGUCUCAUAGUUUUUCAAGAUGCAAAGCAAGAAAGGUUGAUCCUAGAAAAAUUGGGAUGCAAUGACAACUUUUCUGAUAUGAAUAUGGAAGAUUGAAGG
This is an RNA transcript of Trifolium pratense (red clover), 2518 nucleotides long. It is a transcript of the gene named probable DNA helicase MCM9, with no coding region annotated. NCBI's taxonomy places the organism in Eukaryota, Viridiplantae, Streptophyta, Magnoliopsida, Fabales, Fabaceae. The record is from RefSeq and is a predicted model, not a curated record. The transcript is spliced from 20 exons.